Lutra lutra (Eurasian river otter) is the source of this 2245-nucleotide long non-coding RNA. RefSeq lists it as uncharacterized. The transcript has 2 exons. Lineage: Eukaryota; Metazoa; Chordata; Mammalia; Carnivora; Mustelidae. The record is from RefSeq and is a predicted model, not a curated record.
CAGCACAAAUUUAUUUUCGUGCAGUUCUGGAGGCUGGAAGUGUGAGAUCAGAUGCCAGCAAGGUUGGAUUUCAGGGAGGAUGCUCUUCCUGUCUUGUACGUGACCGCCAUCUUGUGUAUCUUCAUAUGACAGACUGAGCUCUUCUCUUCUUAUAAGGAGAGUAAACCCAUUGUGGACCCACACCCUCAUCUGACCCUAAUGCCUUCCCAAAGGUGCCACUUCCUAAAGCUAUCCCACUGGGGGAGCAGGGCUUGAACCUGUGAACUCUGGGGUGGGGUGGAGAACAUGAUUCUCUCCAUGCAUCUAGCCUCUCCCAUUGUCAUAAGGAGCAUUGUCCUUCUCCUCACCCCCCACAUUUGGUACAUUUUCAGGCUGUGUCCGUUCUCUCCAAGGCAUAUGCUUCUAGUCUGCCCCAUAGUCUCCAUCAUGGUGGCCACCAGCCCAGACGCAGCUGCCCCCACCAACCCGGACCACAAUCACAGUCUACUUGAUGGGCUCACUCGCCCUUUCUCAUCAUUCUCCAAGCACUGAUGCAGACAGAGAUGCCAUGACUCCAUCGGCACGGACCCCCUUGAAUGCCGCCAGGCAUUAACCCAUCACACCAUCCAAGACCUGAUGAUCUCAUGCCUCGGCCUCCCCAUGUCUCCCGACCUGCCACCCACCCUCCCCGUGUCAGGCAUAUCACACUUCCCACAGGUCUUGGACCCACUCAGUCCUUCCUGCCUCCAAUAGAUACAUCAGAAGCAGUGAUUAUAGAAAUGACAGGAGAUGAACGCUGUCGACCAAGGACAUCCUCAGAGAAAAGUGAUGACAUGGGAGAUCUCACUGAAAACAAAAAAUGGAACCAAUUCUAGACAUAUUCUGGUGAAUUUCUCAAACCAGAUGAAAUAAAGAAAGCUCUCCAAGAGUCUACAGGGGACUAAACAGAACACAAGAGUCAAACUGGUCUGGCUUCAUUUCAUCUCAGACAUUAGAAAUGACACAGUGGGAUUGGAUUAUUUGACAUUGAUAGGGGGGCAAAAAAAAAAAUCAUUAUUAAGGAUUCCACAGGGAGACUUUCGGGGAAUGAGCCAUUUCUCCCCCAAAUACCAUUAAAAUAAUUUCAAAUACAGUUUGUGCAAUCCAUGUCAUGUCACGCAAUGAUUGUGCAGUGUGUCACAAAGCCCUGUUGGGUACAGGGAUCCACGUUAAGGAAUCCUACAGUGAAAUAUUCAUCCCCUAAAUCAAACAGUUUUUGUCACAGCUGAUGAUUGCUUCUGAAGCACUUGGAACACGGAAAGAGGGUUUCAAUCUUAAUCCGCACUUCAAAAAAAAAAAAAAAAAACUAAAAAACCGUAGGCAAAACAUAUGAUGAUUUGCAGAUGUCUUGCGAAAACCAGGGUGCAGAGAACGCAUCGAUGCCCUCACAUCUAUGAAGCCCUGGGACAGGGAAAAAAGAAAUAAUAACCCUUAAUAGGAUUUUCUGGCUAUGAGCAAAUAUAUUUGCAUUUUCCUCUCUGGGGGACAAAACUAGAAUUGGCUGAUUUUCAUGGGUUCAAUACUUCUCUCUGUAGCCUAGUGUCACUCAAAGAGCGGGGAGGUCUUCCCACAUUAAAAUUUAAGAUUGAAAACCUUUUUACGAAUUUACAUAUUUUCUGAAAUCCCCUCAAAUAUCAUAUGCUACCAAAAAAAAAAAAAUACAUUUGCUUGGGGAGGAUAAGGUGGGGUAUCUUAAGAACUGGGCAUCCGUGACUGUGCUGAUAUGGUUAUCCUUUAUCAUUUUGGAAAUUCAGGAUGCUCGUCUUACUUUACCGAGGACCCUGCCUAACACGUAGGACAUGGCAUUGGCGUGAACCAGUCCUGCAGAGACCAACACCCGUGCCAUCCAGGUCAACGAGAGCCGGAGAUCUGAUGACACACUCCGGUAGAAGAGUUCUCUCCCUUCACCCUGAGUGCACGCUUCCUGAACUGCCUCUUCUGGUCACCUCUGGCUCUCCUUCAUCUACCCGGGCAGGCUCUCGAUAAAUAAUUACUGAAGAGAGAGCGAAGGCUUGCCAACGUAGUGCUGUGUGAAUCUUGAGGCAGCCAAGAUUGAAUUCAUAAUGAGCCUGGGCAAUGGGGUUUGGUUUGGUUUGGUUUUAAUUCCAGCCCAACAUCUAUAUCCUUCUGGAGAUUCUACAACAGGAAUGCAAUUUCCACAUCCAACCUUCAGAUCUCUGUGGUCACGGAAGAGGCAGCUCAGCUGGGAGCCUUUCCAGCUCAAGAG